Molecule: ribosomal RNA, 253 nt
Filed under: uncultured bacterium
Lineage: Bacteria
Description: partial 16S ribosomal RNA
Rfam family: Bacterial small subunit ribosomal RNA
Source: RNAcentral
UACGUAGGGUGCAAGCGUUGUCCGGAAUUAUUGGGCGUAAAGAGCUCGUAGGCGGCUUGUCGCGUCGGCUGUGAAAACCUGGGGCUCAACCCCGGGCCUGCAGCCGAUACGGGCAAGCUAGAAUUCGGUAGGGGAGACUGGAAUUCCUGGUGUAGCGGUGAAAUGCGUAGAUAUCUGGAGGAAUACCGGUGGCGAAGGCGGCAUCCUGGACCGGCAUUGACGCUGAGGAGCGAAAGCCAGGGGAGCAAACGGG